AUGGGGCGCCGCUCUGGAGGAGGCGGCGGUUCCCGCAGUGCGCCACGUCCCGCAGCCCCGGCACCCAAGCCGGCGGCCAAGCCAGCGUCCGCUUCGGCGCCGGCCAAGAACUCGUCCGCGCCGGCGCCGGAUAAGAAACCGUCCGCGCUGGCCCCGGCCCAGAGCUCCUUCCUCGGAUCCGUUAACGACGGGUUCGGAUUUGCCGUCGGGAUGAGCAUGGCGCGCUCCUUAUUGGGCGGGCGCAGAGAGGAGCCGGCGCCCGCCUCUCCCGCCCACGCCGACGCCGACGCCGACGCGUGCGGCAUCCACAACCAGGACUUCACCAAUUGCAUCUACACGAACGCGAGCGACAUCAGCCGGUGCCAGAACUACUUCGACCUCCUCUACCAGUGCCGCCGCGGAGGAGGCGCAGGAGCAGGAGAGGCCUCCACCAUCGCCUAA
RNAcentral lists this ribosomal RNA (441 nucleotides) under Triticum aestivum (bread wheat). RNAcentral describes it as "partial small subunit ribosomal RNA". Lineage: Eukaryota; Viridiplantae; Streptophyta; Magnoliopsida; Poales; Poaceae. The record is from RNAcentral.